UGGGGAAUAUUGGACAAUGGACGAAAGUCUGAUCCAGCAAUGCCGCGUGAAUGAUGAAGGCCUUAGGGUUGUAAAGUUCUUUAAGUGGGGAAGAUAAUGACGGUACCCACAGAAUAAGCACCGGCUAACUUCGUGCCAGCAGCCGCGGUAAUACGAAGGGUGCAAGCGUUGUUCGGAAUUACUGGGCGUAAAGCGCGCGUAGGCGGUUUGAUAAGUUGGAAGUGAAAUCCCGAGGCUUAACUUCGGAAUUGCUUUCAAAACUGUCAAGCUAGAGUAUGGCAGGGGACAGUGGAAUUCCUAGUGUAGAGGUGAAAUUCGUAGAUAUUAGGAGGAACACCAGUGGCGAAAGCGACUGUCUGGACCAUUACUGACGCUGAGGCGCGAAAGCGUGGGGAGCAAACAGG
This 404-nucleotide ribosomal RNA is filed under the name uncultured bacterium. RNAcentral describes it as "bacterial SSU rRNA". It matches the Rfam family "Bacterial small subunit ribosomal RNA", at positions 355 to 776 of the family's 1533-position model. The record is from RNAcentral.